Molecule: ribosomal RNA, 835 nt
Filed under: Triticum aestivum (bread wheat)
Lineage: Eukaryota; Viridiplantae; Streptophyta; Magnoliopsida; Poales; Poaceae
Description: partial small subunit ribosomal RNA
Source: RNAcentral
GCGUGUUGGAGGCAGGGGACAACGAGGUUAGGCCGGUCGCGAGGGAGGUGGAGCAGAGAGGGCUAGGGUGGCCAGCCGCCACUGGAAGUGGGAUCGUCAGUAUGAGGUGGGAUCGUCAGCUAGGGCUGGUAGCGACGAAGUGGUCGGAGGAGUAGACCGUAGAGGGGCUCCCGCCGGCUACGGUCUGUCCGGCAGCUGCGCGGCCUGGAGUUCCGGCCAGCACGACGAGGAAGACGGACGCAGGGGAGCUGGCGACAGACGUUCUAGAGGGAGGAGUUCCUCUACGUCGUAGCCUUGUAGUAGUCCGACGUCCUGCACCACGUAUUGCUCUUCUCCCUCCCGCGGUACCGCUUCUUCCUCCCUGGAACGCCGGUAACGCCUCAGUGUUCACAUAACAAGGACAUGGGCUCACCGAUGUAGUCCCUUCUGGGUGAACCUCAGGGGUUGUUGGACUCGGGAUACACGUCGUUCAGCAACAGCCCUCCGCGGACGCGACUGCCAAAUACCCUGGCUUAUGUUGUGGUUCCUACCUUAUCCCCACCACUUUAAUACCAUGUCUUAUGGUCUUUAAGAAGACCCACGCUCCGUCAUAAGAUGGGAACAACCACUUCACGCUUAGGUACAAGCUUCAAAACUUCGUAUAGCUGUUUCUCAUCGUAUAAUACACAACAUUAACAUCCGUCAUCAUCCGUAUAGACUCAACAUUAUAUGAUAUUGCUAACAUUAUCUAAUUACAUCAUAACCAAAACCUGGUUAAAGUAAACGAGAAACCAGACAAGCUUUCUUACAACACGUACACUAAACUUAUGGGUACUUUACCUUUGGACUGUUCACC